This 167-nucleotide small nucleolar RNA is filed under the name Capronia epimyces CBS 606.96. RNAcentral describes it as "Small nucleolar RNA snR80". It matches the Rfam family "Small nucleolar RNA snR80". The record is from Rfam by way of RNAcentral. Lineage: Eukaryota; Fungi; Ascomycota; Eurotiomycetes; Chaetothyriales; Herpotrichiellaceae.
AGACCUUUGCCAACACUCUGGCCUUUAUCCCUCCAUCCGGAGCUAUCCCAGGAUAUGGGCCUAUUUUGGUGCAAAGAAGAUCAAUCUUCUGACACGUUACUCACCGCGGCAUCCAGCCUCUCUUUUGAGGCAGUGGGUGCAGUGGUCCAUCAAACCUGUGUCUACAA